AACAAGGUCUCCGUUGGUGAACCAGCGGAGGGAUCAUUACCGAGUUAUACAACUCAUCAACCCUGUGAACAUACCUAAAACGUUGCUUCGGCGGGAACAGACGGCCCUGUAACAACGGGCCGCCCCCGCCAGAGGACCCCUAACUCUGUUUUUAUAAUGUUUUUCUGAGUAAACAAGCAAAUAAAUUAAAACUUUCAACAACGGAUCUCUUGGCUCUGGCAUCGAUGAAGAACGCAGCGAAAUGCGAUAAGUAAUGUGAAUUGCAGAAUUCAGUGAAUCAUCGAAUCUUUGAACGCACAUUGCGCCCGCCAGUAUUCUGGCGGGCAUGCCUGUUCGAGCGUCAUUACAACCCUCAGGCCCCCGGGCCUGGCGUUGGGGAUCGGCGGAAGCCCCCUGUGGGCACACGCCGUCCCUCAAAUACAGUGGCGGUCCCGCCGCAGCUUCCAUUGCGUAGUAGCUAACACCUCGCAACUGGAGAGCGGCGCGGCCAUGCCGUAAAACACCCAACUUCUGAAUGUUGACCUCGAAUCAGGUAGGAAUACCCGCUGAACUUAAGCAUAUCA
RNAcentral lists this ribosomal RNA (563 nucleotides) under Fusarium solani. RNAcentral describes it as "eukaryotic LSU rRNA". The stretch from base 190 to 343 matches the Rfam family "5.8S ribosomal RNA". The record is from RNAcentral. Lineage: Eukaryota; Fungi; Ascomycota; Sordariomycetes; Hypocreales; Nectriaceae.